UACGGGGGGAGCUAGCGUUUUUCGGAAUUACUGGGCGUAAAGGGCUCGUAGGUGGCCAACUAAGUCAGACGUGAAAUCCCUCGGCUUAACCGGGGAACUGCGUCUGAUACUGGAUGGCUUGAGUUUGGGAGAGGGACGCGGAAUUCCAGGUGUAGCGGUGAAAUGCGUAGAUAUCUGGAGGAACACCGGUGGCGAAGGCGGCGUCCUGGACCAACACUGACACUGAUGAGCGAAAGCCAGGGGAGCAAACGGG
Molecule: ribosomal RNA, 253 nt
Filed under: uncultured bacterium
Lineage: Bacteria
Description: partial 16S ribosomal RNA
Rfam family: Bacterial small subunit ribosomal RNA
Source: RNAcentral